GGGGGGGUCACCUGUGUCACCUCAGCCUUCCAGAUCACUCCCCUUUCCUCCCCCUCCCCUGCUUUCCAUGUCAUCUUCUUGGUUGCUCUACUUUCUUUUCAGUUGCUCAGGUGCCACUCUGAGCCUUGGAAAGUACAUAGUGCUCCUUCAGCUCUUAUUUCAAGGGGAGGAGGGCAGUAGCGCCACUUGCCACAUCGCGAUGAAGGCAGCAAUGACAGGGGCCUCAGGGUCUUCGUUGUCACCCUUGUGCAAAUAGGCGCUACACUGGUGACUCCAGAAGCUGGGCUCUCAGCAACGUUGUAGUGUUGUGUCAGCUUAUACCUCUUACACCUUGUCCAGUGUCCUCCAUGUAGGAAAACAGGUGAGAGAUUUUUAAACACUUGAAUGACAUGCUAAAGGAGGGCAUGUUUUUUACUUGCUGCUAUCGUAACGCGGGAGCUUUCUAAAUGUGCCAUGUAUAAGUUACUUUUUGGAGGAUAUCUGUACUUUUAAAACUUAUGCAAAAGGACAUUGGUGAAACAAAGUGUGAAUGACGGGUGGGCGUUUGGAAGUGUGUAGACAGAAUCACAAGCUUGCUUUUCGAGCAGCUUGAUGGAGCAAAACCUGUUACAAAAUAAAAUAUCGUUGACAGGUUGGAGAUACUGCCAUCUCUUCUCUAUUAGAGGGCUUAAAUAUGAAAUUAGCACUGUGCAUUUGGAUUAUCUGCUUAUCUUUCACUUUAGUUCUAAUAGCGUAGAAAUGCCAAGUAUCUAGAAAGAUCUAGAAUUUGCAACUUCUCUUUUAAGUUUUAUUUUCGGUAAGGGAUUUCUGGGUAUUCAAUAUAGCAAAACCUUCUGGGUGGUAAUACAGCACUGCCUUUAGAGAAGAACAGUAUCUAGGCUGGUGUGAGAAAUCUUGCUCCUCUGUCACAGCAAAAAAGCAGAAGAUAGUUCUUGCUGUUACUGGUAGCAGGAGCAGCAUUAAAAUGGAUUCCAGUUAUGUAAUUAAGUAUGUAAAUUUAGUUGACCUUCUUUUGCAUAAUUAUGUAGCUCAGCUGCUUACAAUGCAUAUUGAUUUAGAACACUAGGGUAAUGUAAACCUACUGGAAUAGCAUUUCGCAGAUCACACAAAAUCUCAAAGCAGAGCAAGUAGCUUGUGUUCCUAACGGCUCAGGUUUUAUUUAAAGGCUUUUCUUUCUGGAAUCAUAUCAUGGGAUACUUUAAUUUCUGAGGAUGUAUCUGUUUAAAUCUUAGAUUGACACUUUGGUUCCUUUUCUUUUUUAAUGAAUGGAAUAUUUAAAGCAAGUAUUUGAAAACCAUUUAGUGGAGUCGCUUCCUACACAGUUUAAUUGAAAGUUUUUUUCUUUGGUCGUUUGUCACUCUUUUUUUUUCUAGUGUGUUUUUCUUUCAGGUAUUUUGGUACACUUGGGUUGACUGGAACUUGAACUCGAGGAUGGGCAAAUGGAAUAGACACACUAGUCAGUCUUAGUCCACGCUAAGUGAUGAAGCUGCCUGGGGAACACCACAUCUAGAACCUAUGCUGGUGGUCCAGUGUGUGGAUAAUGUCAUUUCAUAGUUUAGUCACUAGGUGGCAAUAGACCUAGUUGUAUCUGGGUGAAGCUUCCUGUUCUGCUCUUGUUCUAGAGCACGGGUGCCAAACACAAGGCCCGCGGGCCGAAUCUGGCCCGCCAGACCUCGUCAUGUGGCCCGUGUAGCCGCCGCCGGCCGCCAGCCUUCACCUUUUAGUCUCGCUUUUUUUUUUUUUUGGACACAAGAAAGCCACCUCUUCAGCGCAUGUGCGGCAGCCUACAAGCCAGAGAACGUCUGCCCUCUAGCGGCGCCGGCCGUUCUACACAGGAAACCUCCACUUUACAUGCAUUCAGGAAACCUCCACUUGUUUUUAUAUUGAGCGCGUGCCAUCCUGUGAUGUGACAGAUCCAACGGCUGCCUGAACCCUUCUCUCCUGUACUGUGAGUCCUACAGAUACAACCGGCCCUUUGAGGGUGACCAAACUGCUGAUGCGGCCCCCGAUGAAUUUGAGUUUGACACCCCUGUUCUAGAGAAACAAUAACUUUGCUUGCCUAGUUUCUUGACUGGUGCAAGCUUCUCCGCAAGAUCGUUGCUAUGCUAGCAUGAUUGUUUCUAUUAUGUCUGUGAGGUUAGGAUUUGCUAAGUAAAGUGUCUCAGAAUACUCUGGAAUUUAUGAGAUUGUACAGCAUGAGAUUUAGGGUGGUGCGGGUGUUUCUCCAGCACAGGGUGCAAAGCCAAGGGGACGCAGAAGAGCCAUAAUUGACAAGAUCCAUUUGGGGACACUAGAUUUUGGCCCUACCGCAGGGUACCAUAUUACGAAAGAUUACCAAAGUCGAUGGCUCGUGAGAAGAAAGAGAAUGGUGAUUGACACUGUGUACUGAUUUAUAAAUAAUGUCAUGUGCAAUAGAUACCUAUUUCUGGCUUAAAAUUGCAUGUAGUAAUAGGAUACCCAAAAUGUUAAUGCUUUCUUCAAGACUAAGGCAGAAUUAUAAAGCAUUUAUCUUGGAAAUAGAAUCUACAUAUCAACAUAACCAGCACACAUAGGAGUUAGAUAAAAUAUAAUUGGACCUGGAGUGUGUAAUGAACAUAAAUUUCUGAUUUGUUCUAUUUUGUAUCUUUCAUAUUUUGGUCUUAGUGCCCAGAACAUGUCAGGUAGGUAUAAAGAAUAGGCAAGAUUCUAUUUAAAAUAUAUAGAAACACAAAGGAAUAUGAACCUCCAUUCCAACUUGCAACAACAAAUGACAGUGCCACCUAGUGACACAAUCAUUAUUAUUAUUAUUAAUAAUAAUAAUGAUGAAUUCAUAUACUGCCCUAUACCCGGGGAUCUCAGGGCAGUUCACAAAAUAAAAUCAAGAUAUUAAACCAC
Non-coding RNA from Podarcis lilfordi (Lilford's wall lizard), 2874 nucleotides. Lineage: Eukaryota; Metazoa; Chordata; Lepidosauria; Squamata; Lacertidae. The record is from the annotation of a GenBank genome assembly.